CGGGGUGUAGCGCAGCCGGGUAGCGCGCCACGUUCGGGACGUGGAGGCCGGAGGUUCGAGUCCUCUCACCCCGACCA
RNAcentral lists this transfer RNA (77 nucleotides) under Dehalococcoidales bacterium. Its description in RNAcentral is "tRNA-Pro". It matches the Rfam family "tRNA". Rfam says of the family: Transfer RNA (tRNA) molecules are approximately 80 nucleotides in length. Their secondary structure includes four short double-helical elements and three loops (D, anti-codon, and T loops). Further hydrogen bonds mediate the characteristic L-shaped molecular structure. tRNAs have two regions of fundamental functional importance: the anti-codon, which is responsible for specific mRNA codon recognition, and the 3' end, to which the tRNAs corresponding amino acid is attached (by aminoacyl-tRNA synthetases). tRNAs cope with the degeneracy of the genetic code in two manners: having more than one tRNA (with a specific anti-codon) for a particular amino acid; and 'wobble' base-pairing, i.e. permitting non-standard base-pairing at the 3rd anti-codon position. The record is from RNAcentral. Lineage: Bacteria; Bacillati; Chloroflexota; Dehalococcoidia; Dehalococcoidales.